RNAcentral lists this ribosomal RNA (408 nucleotides) under uncultured bacterium. RNAcentral's name for it is "partial 16S ribosomal RNA". It matches the Rfam family "Bacterial small subunit ribosomal RNA", at positions 28 to 526 of the family's 1533-position model. The record is from RNAcentral.
GACGAACGCUGGCGGCGUGCCUAAUACAUGCAAGUAGAACGCAGUUGCGAACGGGUGUGUAUCGCGUAGGUAACCUGCCUCAUAGCGGGGGAUAACUAUUUGGAACGAUAGCUAAUACCGCAUACUGUGAGAUGGACCUGCGUUGUAUUAGCUAGUUGGUGAGGUAAAGGCUCACCAAGGCGACGAUACAUAGCCGGCCUGAGAGGGAGAACCACCACACCGGGAAUGGGGAACGGCCCAGACUCCUACGGGGGGCAGCAGGAGGGAAUUUUCGGAAAAUGACUGAAGGCUGAACGAGCAACGCCGCCGUAGUGGAGAAGGUUUUCGGGUCGUAAAGGUCCUUUGUUAGGGAAGCGGUAACUGACCAGAAAGGGACGGCUAACUACGUGCCAGCAGCCGCGGUAAUAC